GGACAACCUGCCCUCGGGUGGGGGAUAACCCCGGGAAACUGGGGCUAAUCCCCCAUAGGGGAUGGGUACUGGAAUGUCCCAUCUCCGAAAGCGCUUAGCGCCCGAGGAUGGGUCUGCGGCGGAUUAGGUUGUUGGUGGGGUAACGGCCCACCAAGCCGAAGAUCCGUACGGGCCACGAGAGUGGGAGCCCGGAGAUGGACCCUGAGACACGGGUCCAGGCCCUACGGGGCGCAGCAGGCGCGAAACCUCCGCAAUGCGGGAAACCGCGACGGGGUCAGCCGGAGUGCUCGCGCAUCGCGCGGGCUGUCGGGGUGCCUAAAAAGCACCCCAUAGCAAGGGCCGGGCAAGGCCGGUGGCAGCCGCCGCGGUAAUACCGGCGGCCCGAGUGGCGGCCACUUUUAUUGGGCCUAAAGCGUCCGUAGCCGGGCUGGUAAGUCCUCCGGGAAAUCUGGUCGCUUAACGAUCAGACUGCCGGAGGAUACUGCCAGCCUAGGGACCGGGAGAGGCCGGGGGUAUUCCCGGGGUAGGGGUGAAAUCCUGUAAUCCCGGGAGGACCACCUGUGGCGAAGGCGCCCGGCUGGAACGGGUCCGACGGUGAGGGACGAAGGCCAGGGGAGCGAACCGGAUUAGAUACCCGGGUAGUCCUGGCUGUAAACGAUGCGGACUAGGUGUCACCGAAGCUACGAGCUUCGGUGGUGCCGGAGGGAAGCCGUUA
This 715-nucleotide ribosomal RNA is filed under the name uncultured archaeon. RNAcentral describes it as "bacterial SSU rRNA". It matches the Rfam family "Archaeal small subunit ribosomal RNA", at positions 102 to 817 of the family's 1478-position model. The record is from RNAcentral.